This 482-nucleotide ribosomal RNA is filed under the name Cheracebus lugens (black titi). RNAcentral's name for it is "partial large subunit ribosomal RNA". It matches the Rfam family "Bacterial large subunit ribosomal RNA", at positions 1914 to 2572 of the family's 2925-position model. Lineage: Eukaryota; Metazoa; Chordata; Mammalia; Primates; Pitheciidae. The record is from RNAcentral.
UGACACAUGUUAAACGGCCGCGGUACCCUGACCGUGCAAAGGUAGCAUAAUCACUUGUUCUCUAAAUAGGGACUUGUAUGAAUGGCCACACGAGGGUUUAACUGUCUCUUACUUUUAAUCAGUGAAAUUGACCUAUCCGUGAAGAGGCGGAUAUACACUAAUAAGACGAGAAGACCCUAUGGAGCUUCAAUUUAAUAGCACAAACUAACACCUUAAAAACCCACAGGCAUUAAAACACCGUCCAUGCGCUAUAAAUUUCGGUUGGGGUGACCUCGGAGUACAACAUAACCCCCGAGAUACAAGUAUACCAAGACCUCACCAGUCUAAGUAAACCAAUAUCUAUUGACCCAAUAACUUGAUCAACGGACCAAGUUACCCUAGGGAUAACAGCGCAAUCCUAUUAUAGAGUCCAUAUCGACAAUAGGGUUUACGACCUCGAUGUUGGAUCAAGACAUCCUAGUGGUGUAGCCGCUACUAAGGGU